This is a long non-coding RNA of Engraulis encrasicolus (European anchovy), 2454 nucleotides long. RefSeq lists it as uncharacterized. Lineage: Eukaryota; Metazoa; Chordata; Actinopteri; Clupeiformes; Engraulidae. The transcript has 8 exons. The record is from RefSeq and is a predicted model, not a curated record.
UGAUCUCGAAUGAAUUGCGUCUCAUUUAUCACGCAAACCAAAACCAAAAUUGCGUCGAUAUAACGACGCAUUCUCUUUUAUGUCACACAUGCGCAGUAGCCAGCACUAUCUUUUAAGGCCAGGAGGCUUUAUUGUUAGCCUAUUUAUAACAAAAACAAAACGUUAUUCACGUUGCUUAACGUAACGACUCAUUAUAAAUAUGCUGUUAAGUCCCCACAAACUAAUGAGCUCUUUUGGGCUGUUAAAGUCAAGUUUUGAUUUUAGCAAGUCUUUUUCUGUUUGAUUGAAUUAAAACGAACCCUGUAAACAUUGACAUAAAUUUGUCCAGAGCGUGAUUUGCGCACAACAACCUCUAGGCCUACAACGUUUUGAAUAGUUUCAAAUAUUUCAUUCAUAAAUCCCCAGACCCCCUCCCUCUGCUACUACACCAAUGAUGUCAUUUUAUUGCGACCACUCUCUGGAUUGUGGAUUUUACGGACUGCAUUCCCAUGUACUGGGUUUAGCUGGACCGUAUUGGACUGGAGGUGACAGGAUAUUUUGUACCUGCUUCGGACUGGUUCUGUCAUUAACCUACUGAGCUGGUGCUUCUGUCCCAGGUAAAAUGUGUUUGAACUUACAUUUGCAUCUAUACAUGAAGUAGGCAGCCUAGAGCAGGAGGCGGGCGUCAGAUCAGAGGGUUGCAGGCAUCUCCAUCGCAUCGCUCCUAGGCAUCUGAAAGUGUACCGUUGCGCACAGAUCAUGCUGGUAACGAGUUAUUCAAAGGGUCUACCAAUCAUGGCAAAAACAGAAAUCCAGCUCCUCAGCCCAGGCAGUGCCAACAACCCAGCUGAUCCAGGAGCUGCAGCGAGGGGUAGUGAUGACACCCCGACUGCCCUCUUCAACCAUUCCCAUGGAAUUCAUCCUGUCCAGCCUCCGUCAGAUAAUCCAGCCCUCCCCCUCCUACUUCCAGAGACUAAUUUGCAGAUUCUAACGGGUAUGUGCUAAGGAGAUGAUGAGUGAACACGCUGCCAGUUUGGUUGCAGUGUGUCACCGAAUUCCGUAGAUUCAUCAUCACUAUGUGGGGUGGAAGCUGCACAGACUACAACAAGGCUUCUGGGACCCCACUCCCCUCAAGCAAGACAUUUACCACCUGCUUCACCUAUGAAGGACUGAUUAUUGGCAGUGAUGUAUACCACAACGCAUACAAGCUGUUCAGCCUGCUGCCCUCCGGGUAGAGGUACAGGAGUAUCUGCUUCCGCAACUCCAGACUCGCCAACAUCUUCAUCUACCAGACUGUCAUGCCAAAUCGUCCCUCCUCUCUCCCAUCCCAGGAUGCCGAAUUAUGACCAAGUGACUGAAGAACUGCCAUACGUCUUCACUUGGUCAUGGCAUGACCAGAGGCUGUAUGCAAACUCACAGUAUAAUUCUACACGAUCCACUAUAAGUCAUAUUUUAUUUCAGGUGGUUUGAAUAGCUGUGAUACAUUAAUGAUGCCUGCCAACGAUUCUGAAUUGUGUACAGUCUGUAAUAUUUCUUCUUCAAGGGACCAGUCAAGUCGAUGUGACAGUUCCCUGUUGGCCCACUACCAUCUGCCCCGCAUGGUGCGCGACACCAGACACUGGAGCAGCUGGGUCGCCACUCAUCAACGCAGAGUGAAACAGUGCUUUGACCGCUCCCACAGGGUUAAAAGCCCCACACUUGCUCCACUGGACUGAUUGAGGAUCCGCAGGCCUACCCGGGGGCCACAAGCUCAAGUCAUUCUGUUCUGCCCCACUGCAAGUGACUGAGCAGCUGGGUCCCGCCAUUUUCCGCCGUGUUCACAAGGUGCCGCCGCCUACUGCAACAGACCUGGAGGCGACUGGCCCGUACAAGGGCCCAUCCAGGCCAUCUCAUGGACUAUGUACUCUGACAAUAUGAAUGAUGNUCCUGGGUCUCCCCUGGGGAGGGGGGAAAUGUUAUGUCUGCUCUGUUGCCUGUGCUGAUUAGGGAUGCAAAUUAUCGAUUAAUUCAUUAAUCAUUAGUUGAUAGCCUUAUCGAUCGACUUACGAUUAAUUGAUAAGCGGCGUUUUCCCCCCGAAAAUCUCAAAGUUUCUCGAAAAAAAAGUACUAAAUCAAAACAUUUUAAUUAAACAUUGAGAUAAAAUACCACAUUUAAAUUAAUUGUAUUUCAACUCUUUAAUCCAAAUGUGAUUUAAAUAUUCCCACUAUUCACACCCCUUUUCACACACACUCUUCACAUGCCCAUUUCACCUGCGUCUCUUGUCAGUUGAAUUGUCGAUUAAUUGCGAUUAAUGUUUUUUAAUCGAUUAACACAUUGAUCGAUUAAAGUCGAUUAAUCGAUUAAUCGUUUGCAUCCCUAGUGCUGAUAUUUCAUAUUUCCUGAUGCUACUUGAAGACGACAUAAUAACAUUUGUGCAGGGCAUGCUGGGAUGCGAGUUCAGUGAAAUAAACGUCUGGUAUGGCUAGACUUUGACA